Molecule: ribosomal RNA, 506 nt
Filed under: uncultured bacterium
Lineage: Bacteria
Description: partial 16S ribosomal RNA
Rfam family: Bacterial small subunit ribosomal RNA
Source: RNAcentral
AGUGAACGCUGGCGGUAGGCCUAACACAUGCAAGUCGAACGGCAGCACAGGAGAGCUUGCUCUCGGGGUGGCGAGUGGCGGACGGGUGAGGAAUACAUCUGAACCUACUCUGUCGUGGGGGAUAACGUAGGGAAACUUACGCUAAUACCGCCUACGACCUACGAGUGAAAGCAGGGGACCUUCGGGCCUUGCGCGAUUGAAUGAGCCGAUGUCGGAUUAGCUAGUUGGCGGGGUAAAGGCCCACCAAGGCGACGAUCCGUAGCUGGGCUGAGAGGAUGAUCAGCCACACUGGAACAGAGACACGGUCCAGACUCCUACGGGAGGCAGCAGUGGGGAAUAUUGGACAAUGGGCGCAAGCCUGAUCCAGCCAUACCGCGUGGGUGAAGAAGGCCUUCGGGUUGUAAAGCCCUUUUGUUGGGAAAGAAAUCCAGCUGGCUAAUACCCGGUUGGGAUGACGGUACCCAAAGAAUAAGCACCGGCUAACUUCGUGCCAGCCGCCGCCGUAA